GGCCCAUGGAAAUGAAGUAGCUGGCCCAAGAUCCCGGGGGCAUAACUGCUGGCAGCACCGACGAACCCCCAAUGCUGACCAAGGAGGAGCCUGUUCCAGAACUGCUGGAAGCUGAGGCCCCCGAAGCUUACCCUGUCUUUGAGCCAGUGCCACCUGUCCCUGAGGCAGCCCAGGGUGACACAGAGGACUCGGAGGGCGCCCCCCCACUCAAGCGCAUCUGCCCAAAUGCCCCUGACCCCUGAGAAGCCGGCCUGCCUGUCCUGUUG
This 266-nucleotide long non-coding RNA is filed under the name Pan troglodytes (chimpanzee). RNAcentral's name for it is "long non-coding RNA NONPTRT006292". Lineage: Eukaryota; Metazoa; Chordata; Mammalia; Primates; Hominidae. The record is from RNAcentral.